UAUAAUUCAUUUAUAUGUUUUGGAAUUUAGUAUGACGUUCAUUUUCACUAAAAUAAAACAGGCACAUUUUUAUUUAGGGGCCAGCUGAGGACCACCUUCGGGUGUGGGAUUUUCUCGCUGAGUUGAAGACCUAUUGGUGCCCUUAUGCUGUUAUCUGCUCCUUGGUAACAUUUUUUGUUAGAUCACUGGGGUCCAUGUAAACUUAUGUCACCACUUGACGUCCGUCGUCGUCCGUCUUCUGUCGUUGAUUGUCAUAUGUCUUUAUCGCCGUCCGUCGUCGGUGUAAACUAUUACAAAAAUCUUCUCCUUUGAAACUACUGGGCCAAAUACUUUCAAACUUUAACUGAAUUUUCCUCAGGGUAUCUAGUUUAUAAAUUGUAUUCAAAGUUUUGGUCCAUCAACAAACAUGGCUGACAUUGCAAUAAAUAGAACAUAAAUGCAGUUUAUAUCUCAAAAACUAGAGACGUUACGCGCGAU
RNAcentral lists this long non-coding RNA (477 nucleotides) under Mytilus galloprovincialis (Mediterranean mussel). Lineage: Eukaryota; Metazoa; Mollusca; Bivalvia; Mytilida; Mytilidae. The record is from RNAcentral.